GAAGAAUAUACAACUAUGUACCAGGGGGCUUUGGGGAGAAAAAGGAAAAAAAAAAAUCUUAAAAAAAAAAAAAAUGAACCUCAAGCAAAUAACCUCACUCCUUUGAUGAGCUCGACUUUCACUGUAUGGAAUAUUGUUCUAGAAAGAGGGCCGUCAUGAACAACUUGGAAAUUUUUUUAGUGAGACAGUAAUUUUGCCAAGGGUUUGUAGGGAGAUGAAGAAGGAAGAAGAGGUGAUAAAAUUCAUUACAAUUAAAAGCUGGCCCAUUUGAAGGGCUGCAAAAUUCACAAGUCCCUUGUUAUCCCAGUUAUUGGAGCUACCCCAAAGCUCUAAAAUUUCAUAGAGCUAGGAAGUUGAUUGAACAUUUGAAGAAUUAGGUAUUUAGGUAUCAGGAGUUAGGUAAGCAUGGUCAUGCCCUGUUGUAAAUAUUGGACAACGUGUAAAUGAUAUCUGAAGGCUUGGUGACAGACAUCAUAAACUCUGUCUUAUCAGUGGUCUGGUUUCUUUUUUGAGCUCCAGCCUGGGACCCUUUUCUGCUGGGAACCACUUAUUCCUGGCUCUGCUGAUCUUUGGAUUUCCCCAGCCCUUCAGUCUCUUUCAGUUUUGAAAUGAAACCUACCCCAGAGGGCGAGGUCAGGUACUGAGAGGACUUUGACAGCUCACACCAGCUUGUUUUCUUUCCGGAGCCGUCUGCAUGGCUUGAUAAGCAGCGUGUACAUCCAUGCCCGGGAUCCGAACCAGUGAACCCCAGGCUGCUGAAGCGGAGUGCACAAACUUAACUGCUAUGCCACUGGGCCAGCCCCUCAAGGAUGUUGGUACAAAUUGCCCAAUUGUCUUCCAGAAAAGAUGUAUCAACUUAGACUCUCACCACCAGUCCUGUGAGAGUAUCUCUUUCACUACAUCCUUCCCAACACAAGGAUGAACUUUGAAGUCAUUGUGCCAAGUCCUGCUUGUUCCUUUGGACUACACAGUGGGAGCUGGAAACAUGGGUGACCCCAGUAGGGGCUUUUGUAUUCAUAAGCACCAGGCUUACGAAUACAAACACAGCAAGUCCCAGGAGCUGGUUUUGGUGGGGCUGGACUUCUCCUCCAUGCAGAAUCACAUGGCCUCUUUAGGAAGAAGCCCCUCGCCGCCAUUGACCUCCACUUGGGGCAUCCUCCUGUCUCCAGUCCAAAGACAAUCCUAUGGACCUCAGAGCUCUUGUGUCUCUGCUGCUGCAGCACCCAUCCAUAUGUGCCCCACUGUGGCCGAGCCAGCCUGUACUGGGGUGUUCCUGUCCAUCUUGCAGGGGACUCUGCCUCCAGCCAGUGCCCCCUCCAAGCCUGGUCUCCUCUAAGGAUUUCCUGUGGGUUAGCUCUGGGGAUCUUUUCUUAAUCUGUUCCUACAUGUGUUAUUACAGAAAGAAUUAUUCAUAAUUGCCAGCAUUGUGAUGGCUUCUUCCUAGUUUCUUUUGAGCCUGCAUGUUUUUCCCUACUUGACAUUUUCUAGGUUCUCUCCUACUUAAGUGACUUCUUCAGGAUCUUUUCUAUUGAGGAGUAAUGAACGAACAGUAAAGUCACAAAUCCUAAGCAUACAUUGCAGUGAAUUUUUACAUAUGUGUACACUAUGUAACCACCACCCCAAUCAAGGUGUUUCUUUUAGAGUUGAGAAGUUCUUGGUGGGAGGUUGAGUGGAGAAGGAAAUCAUGAGUGUGUCCACGAGCUGCCGUCUUUUUCUAGAACUCUCUUUAAAGGGUGUUAAGGAGGGAGCUGAACGUCAAGUCUAUACAGUGGUGUGGAGAGCAGAAUGCUUAGGAGUGGCAGGUCAUGUUCUGGUCCUCCCCCUUACUAGCUGUGGGACUUCUGUGCCUCAGUUUCAACCACUGUAAAAUGGGAGUAGAUGAUAGCUCUUACCUCACAAGGUUAUCAUGAAGAUUACACGAGGCAGUACAUGUAAGUGCACCAAAAAAUGUUAAUUGUUAUUUUUGUUGUUAUUAAUAACGAGGAGGAGGCAGUGGUUCUUAAUGAAGGAUAUGCAUCAGAAUCACCUGGGGCACUUUCGCAAAAUACACAUUCUCAACCUGGCCAGAUCUACUGAGUCAGAAUCUAGAUUUUAAAUGCCUCCCCAGGUUCAUUCUGUUGCUCAUCCGUGGUUGAGAACCACUGGGCUGGAGGUGGUCAUGACUGGAAGCAGGAAGGCCAACAGGUAACCCCUGCGAUAGUGAGAGCCGGAGAGGAUCAGAGCUGAGCAGAUUUGAGGCAGAGUGGAGAGGUGGCCAAGAUGUGGCGACCUUGGGUGGAGGAGCGAGGAAGGAGGGGGAGGAGUCUGGGGUGACUCAGAGGCUGCUGACUGGACAAUGGAGUGAGCAGGUGGAGGAUGAGCCAGAAGUGGGAAUACAGGAAGGGGGCGUGGGGUGGGGCAGUGGGCCAGAGAUUGUUAUAAUUCCCCUUGGGAUUGUUGAGUGGAGACUCCUGGUGGGAAUAGCAAGUUAGUAUUUGGAUCUCUAGGCCUGGGCUUCUGGUGUUUUUCAGGGAGUCAUCGAUGUCAAGGAGAUAGAUAAAGCCAUGGACCUGGUCACAGUGCAAACAUAGAGGGCAGAAGAGGGCCACAUUCACUAGUAUCCACCUCUGGGAAGGCCUGCGUCCACUUCCUGUUUCCUCCCUAGCAAUAGAGAAGCGCUUGUUUCUCGUGUAAUAACCCCUUUGCUGAGGACGUUGGGGAAUAAACUCAGUCUUCUCACUUGAAGAUGACCCAUGACUAUGGGUCACUUCCUUUCCUUACAGGUCUCAAAAUUUUCCGCAUCCUCUGAUGGAGGAGCUUAAUCCUUAUUCAUCAGUAUCUUCAGACAGCACAUCUGGUUGGGGCAAUGUCUUAUCUUCCAACACCCCCUCAUCCCCCAUGCUCUCACACAUACUCAGCCUCUGGUGGAUGGCUUCUUAGACUCUGGCUUUCUUCAGGCCCUUGAUAUCAACGAGUUGCUCUUUGGCAAGAAUUUAAGCCCUUCGAGUACCUCUCCCAGAGGCGUUUGCAUUUAGAACUAUAGGUGUAAUAGAAAUAAUGGAAGAUGUUGCAUUCCUGAGGGAAGGCGAUCCUGGAAUGAAAUAUUCAUUCUCUCAUUCUAGAACAUCCCUGUCUAGUAGACCUUUCUGCGUUGAUGGAAAUGUUCUUCUGUGCUAUACAAUACGAUAGUCACUAGCCACAUGUGGCUAUUGAGUGUUUGAAAUGUGGCUAGUGUAACCGAGGAAUUGGAUUUUUCAUUUUAAUUAAUUAAAAGUUAAAUUUAAGUUGACAGAAGAAAAGCACGCACUGUUAGUUUGCAUUCACUGGAUCAAUGAACGAUAGGGACGCCAG
Long non-coding RNA from Equus asinus (donkey), 3330 nucleotides. The record is from Ensembl. NCBI's taxonomy places the organism in Eukaryota, Metazoa, Chordata, Mammalia, Perissodactyla, Equidae.